UAUGCCAGGGGGAGCGGUAAAAUGUUAUAAUCCCUGGUAGACUACCUAUGGCGAAGGCAUCUGACCAGAACGGAUUCGACGGUGAGGGACGAAAGCUAGGGGAGCAAAACGGAUUAGAUACCCGAGUAGUCCUAGCUGUAAACUCUGCGAACUAGGUGUUGCGCAUUCUUCGUGAAUACGCAGUAUCGAAAUGAAGAUGUUUAGUUCGCCGCCUGGGAAGUACGGUCGCAAGACUGAAACUUAAAGGAAU
This 250-nucleotide ribosomal RNA is filed under the name uncultured archaeon. RNAcentral describes it as "partial 16S ribosomal RNA". It matches the Rfam family "Archaeal small subunit ribosomal RNA", at positions 616 to 865 of the family's 1478-position model. The record is from RNAcentral.